Molecule: ribosomal RNA, 1043 nt
Filed under: Cyrtarachne nagasakiensis
Lineage: Eukaryota; Metazoa; Arthropoda; Arachnida; Araneae; Araneidae
Description: 16S ribosomal RNA
Source: RNAcentral
ACUCAAUUUAUUUAUUAAUAGUAAAAAUAUUUAUUUUAUUAAUAUUUAUAAAAAUUUUAUUUUCAACUGUAAAGGACUUCGCAUUUAUUUUAAAGAAAUUUAAUUUUCCUUUAGUAUCAGGAUCUUUUUAUUUAUUUUUUUUAAAAAAUAUUCCUGAAAAAAGAUCAUCUAUGAAUUUAUUUUCCUAUUGUUGUAAAAAUAUAAUAAAUAAAUUUAUUGAAAUUAUACUUUAUUCGAAUCUUUUGAUAUCCGGUUUCUUUUAAUUUUUAAAAUUUAACAAUAUUUAAAAAUAUAAUUUUUUAAAUAAAAAUUUUAUUUAAUAAAAUAUUUUUAGGAAUAAAAGUUUCCAAAAAGUUUUAUAACUUAAUCAUAUUAUAUUAUUUUAAUAACAAAAAGAUUUAAUUAAAUAAACUUCAAUUAAUGAAAGUAUUAGUAGAAUUUUUUAAUAUAAAUUUAUAAACUAAGCAAAAAAUUAAAUGACUGUUUACCAAAAACAUUUCUUAACGAAGUAAUUUUAAGUAUCGCCUGCUCAAUGAUUUUUUAAAUAGCCGCGGAAAUUUAACCGUGCUAAGGUAGCAUAAUCAUUUGUCUUUUAAUUAAAGACUAGAAUAAAAGAUUUAACUUUUAAAUUAAUUUUUUAAACUUAAUUAUUUAAAUUAUCUUAAAUGUAAAAAGACAUUUAUAUAUUAGAAAGACGAUAAGACCCUAUCGAACUUUAACUUUAGUUAAACUGGGGUAGUUAAUUAAUUAUUAUUUUAAUUUUAAUAAAAUACAAAUUAGACCUAAUAUAAUUAAUUUCAUAAUCAAGUUACCGUAGGGAUAACAGCGUAAUAAAAUUUUUAAGAUCUUAUUUAAAAUAAAGAUUGCGACCUCGAUGUUGAUUUAAUAACCUAAUUCACGCAAUAGUGAAUCAAGGAAGUCUGUUCGACUUUUAAAAAAUUACGUGAUUUGAGUUCAGACCGGUGUAAACCAGGUCGGUUUCUAUCUUCUAAAAAUAUUUCUUCUAGUACGAAAGGACCUAAGAAAAUAAAUUAAUUAAUUAA